UUCGCGCGACCGGCACGGCCGACGCCGAGGCGGGCUUCGGGCCCGCCCUCCGCUCAGUUCGGGUCCGGCACGCGCGCC
RNAcentral lists this transfer RNA (78 nucleotides) under compost metagenome. Its description in RNAcentral is "tRNA-Arg". The record is from RNAcentral.